Non-coding RNA from Schizosaccharomyces pombe (fission yeast), 474 nucleotides. The record is from the annotation of a GenBank genome assembly. NCBI's taxonomy places the organism in Eukaryota, Fungi, Ascomycota, Schizosaccharomycetes, Schizosaccharomycetales, Schizosaccharomycetaceae.
UAAUGUUCAUUUUUUUUUCUUUUUCAAAAAAAAAAUUUAGAUUACAUAUAUAUAUGUCUAUAAAAACUAGAUAGCCAAAAGAACUUCAUGCAGAAUACAAAUUUGAAUUUGGUGAACCUAACUUAUAAAGCAAUUGUACGAAAUUUAUCGGGAUAUUGCUUACUUAAAGGAGAAACGGUUGUUGCCGUAGGCAUCUCAAAUGUCAAUAAUGCUUCUGCAUGUUCUGUACUCAUUAAAUCGUCAAUUAUUUUCAAACCAUCUUCACCGCCCAAAUUAACAGCUUCUUCCAAUUUCUUGUUAAACGCAAGAAGCAUUUUUUUAGUAGACAAACGACUUAGUAGUAAGUUUUUUCCACGAAGAUCGAGUUCAGAUAAUUCUAAAGAACACAUCUUUUCGAGUUGUUCAAGCACCUUCAUUUUAAGCUGUAACUUCUCAAGCUGAGCCUGGAUUAACGAAAAAACCAAGCGUCGAAGC